UUCGUCAUAGACCAUGUCGAUUGGAUGGGAAUAGCGGUGACGUUCGACGCUGCACCGGAUGAGGUGGGGGAGGAGGGUUCCGUCUGGGUGAUUAAGGGGAUGGGAACGC
This 109-nucleotide non-coding RNA is filed under the name Corethron pennatum. The record is from RNAcentral. Lineage: Eukaryota; Bacillariophyta; Corethrophyceae; Corethrales; Corethraceae.